UACGUAGGGUCCGAGCGUUGUCCGGAGUUACUGGGCGUAAAGCGCGCGCAGGCGGCGGUGCUGGCCCGGCGUGAAAGCCCCCGGCUCAACCGGGGAGAGUCGUCGGGGACCGCACCGCUUGAGGGCGGUAGGGGCUGGUGGAAUGCCUGGUGUAGUGGUGAAAUGCGUAGAGAUCAGGCAGAACACCUGGGGCGAAGGCGGCCAGCUGGGCCGUCCCUGACGCUGAGGCGCGAAGACGUGGGGAGCGAACGGG
Molecule: ribosomal RNA, 253 nt
Filed under: uncultured bacterium
Lineage: Bacteria
Description: partial 16S ribosomal RNA
Rfam family: Bacterial small subunit ribosomal RNA
Source: RNAcentral